CUACGGGGGGCUCCAGUGAGGAAUAUUGCACAAUGGGGGGAACCCUGAUGCAGCAACGCCGCGUGGAGGAUGACGCAUUUCGGUGUGUAAACUCCUUUUAUAUGUCAAGAAAAUGACGGUAGCAUAAGAAUAAGCACCGGCUAACUCCGUGCCAGCAGCCGCGGUGAAUACGGAGGGUGCAAGCGUUACUCGGAAUCACUGGGCGUAAAGGACGCGUAGGCGGGUUGGAAAGUCAGGUGUGAAAUCCUACAGCUUAACUGUAGAACUGCACUUGAAACUUCUAAUCUAGAGUAUGGGAGGGGGAGAUGGAAUUAGUGGUGUAGGGGUAAAAUCCGUAGAUAUCACUAGGAAUACCUAAAGCGAAGGCGAUCUCCUGGAACAUUACUGACGCUAAGGCGUGAAAGCGUGGGGAGCAAACAGGAUUAGAUACCCGCGUAGUC
Molecule: ribosomal RNA, 440 nt
Filed under: uncultured bacterium
Lineage: Bacteria
Description: partial 16S ribosomal RNA
Rfam family: Bacterial small subunit ribosomal RNA
Source: RNAcentral